UUUUGCUCGUAGUUAGAUUUG
Molecule: non-coding RNA, 21 nt
Filed under: Caenorhabditis elegans
Lineage: Eukaryota; Metazoa; Nematoda; Chromadorea; Rhabditida; Rhabditidae
Source: RNAcentral